AACGCGAAGAACCUUACCCAGACUUGACAUCCCUGGAAGUCCGUAGAGAUAUGGACGUGCCCGCAAGGGAGCCGGGAGACAGGUGCUGCAUGGCUGUCGUCAGCUCGUGUCGUGAGAUGUUGGGUUAAGUCCCGCAACGAGCGCAACCCUCGCCUUCAGUUGCCAGCAUUGAGUUGGGCACUCUGGAGGGACUGCCGGUGUCAAGCCGGAGGAAGGUGGGGAUGACGUCAAGUCCUCAUGGCCUUUAUGUCUGGGGCUACACACGUGCUACAAUGGCCGGUACAAAGGGCAGCAAAAGCGCGAGCUUGAGCCAAUCCCAGAAAACCGGUCCCAGUUCGGAUCGAAGUCUGCAACUCGACUUCGUGAAGUCGGAAUCGCUAGUAAUCGCGGAUCAGAACGCCGCGGUGAAUACGUUCCCGGGCCUUGUACACACCGCGCAUA
RNAcentral lists this ribosomal RNA (441 nucleotides) under uncultured bacterium. RNAcentral describes it as "bacterial SSU rRNA". It matches the Rfam family "Bacterial small subunit ribosomal RNA", at positions 958 to 1398 of the family's 1533-position model. The record is from RNAcentral.